Molecule: small nucleolar RNA, 148 nt
Filed under: Nothoprocta perdicaria
Lineage: Eukaryota; Metazoa; Chordata; Aves; Tinamiformes; Tinamidae
Source: RNAcentral
CUUCGGUGAUGAUAAGAUGACGAGUCAGAAGAGGGGUGACUCCUGUUGAGCGGUACCUGCAGUGUCAUGUUCUGUGAUGCUGUGCAUGGUUCGUUAGCAGGAGCACCCUGUCAUCAUUGAACGAUUUAGAGGCAUUUGUCUGAGAAGG